Molecule: ribosomal RNA, 466 nt
Filed under: Neocucurbitaria prunicola
Lineage: Eukaryota; Fungi; Ascomycota; Dothideomycetes; Pleosporales; Cucurbitariaceae
Description: partial 18S ribosomal RNA
Rfam family: Group I catalytic intron (bases 22-393)
About the family: Group I catalytic introns are large self-splicing ribozymes. They catalyse their own excision from mRNA, tRNA and rRNA precursors in a wide range of organisms. The core secondary structure consists of 9 paired regions (P1-P9).
Source: RNAcentral
CCUUUGCAGCUGGAACAGUAGCUGAGCGACUCUAAACAAUCUCAGCUUCAUGCAAGUCAGCGUUCUGCUGGCGACACUUUCGAAUUGCGGGGAACUCCUAAGAGCCCUUUACACCAAACCAGCGUGGGAAACCUGCUGGCGGCCCGUGGGAAACUACCGGGGUAUGGUAACAGUUAAAGGGAUGAACCAGCGCCGAAGAGGGCUGGGGAAAUGGACAAUCCGCAGCGAAGCCCCUUUCGUUGAUGGUGGUUCGGGUAGGAUUUUGUCGAGGCACUGCCCUUGACUCUUCCUUGCAACCGCCAAACAUGGGGAACGUUCACAGACUAAGUGGAAGUGGGUGGAGUGCAACGCGCUCUGCUUAAGAUAUAGUCGGGCCUCUUGGGAAACCCUGGGGAUAGAUCACUUAUAAGGCUCUUAUAAGCUGUUUCUUGCACCGUUCCGUAGGUGAACCUGCGGAAGGAUCAUU